CAAUGUUUGUGUUGGUAACGGCAGUGGUUCUACUUCUAGAGAAGAAACGAAUCGUGGAGAAACAUAUACUGAUGAUGAUUAUGAUGAUGCCAAUGAAGAAGAAGAUGAUGAUGAUGAUGACGAUGAUGGGGGUGAUGAAGAUGAAGAUGAAGAAAAUCAAGUUGUGCCAUGGUCAUCGACACCGCCGCCUCAAGUUUCAAGCUCUUCAACAAGUGAUCAAGAAUUUGCAAGUAAGUUUUGCAAUGGUGGAGAGGGCACUUAUUCUGAAU
RNAcentral lists this long non-coding RNA (269 nucleotides) under Citrus maxima (pomelo). RNAcentral's name for it is "long non-coding RNA (CMAX_LNC001075)". The record is from RNAcentral. Lineage: Eukaryota; Viridiplantae; Streptophyta; Magnoliopsida; Sapindales; Rutaceae.